This 857-nucleotide small RNA is filed under the name Pongo abelii (Sumatran orangutan). RNAcentral's name for it is "processed transcript". The record is from RNAcentral. Lineage: Eukaryota; Metazoa; Chordata; Mammalia; Primates; Hominidae.
GGGAACAAAGAAGUUGCAGAGGCCUCAGCUUCACAGAGCAUUGAGCAGUGGGUGAUAUUGUAUCCUCAGGCAGGGGUUGACCUCACAUUUCAGUGCAGGUCAUUCUAAUGACUGCUGGACCUCCCAGUGCCACUGUGAGCUAGAAUGGAAUAGAGUGAAGUGGAUCUGAAUUCCUGGACUGUGGGACCAACCUAACUUCUGAGCUGGAGAAAUGCUGGUCCCAAAGGCGAUAACAUCUAUGAAUGGAGAUCAACCAUUCUAGGGCCUCCAGGAUCCGUGUAUGAGGGUGGUGUAUUCUUUCUCGAUAUCACUUUUACACCAGAAUAUCCCUUCAAGCCUCCAAAGGUUACAUUUCGGACAAGAAUCUAUCAUUGUAAUAUUAACAGUCAAGGUGUUAUUUGCUUGGACAUAUUGAAAGAUAAUUGGAGUCCAGCACUAACCAUUUCUAAAGUCCUCCUUUCUAUCUGCUCACUUCUUACAGACUGUAAUCCUGCCGACCCCUUGGUGGGAAGUAUUGCCACUCAGUAUAUGACCAACAGAGCAGAACAUGACAGAAUGGCCAGACAGUGGACCAAGAGAUACGCUACAUAAAUUGGGGUUUCACGAUUCUUACAUUAUUUGUCUGUCACAGAAGAGAGCUGCUUAUGAUUUUGAAGGGGUCAGGGAGGGUGGGAGUUGGUAAAGAGUAGGGUAUUUCUAUAACAGAUAUUAUUCAGUCUUAUUUCCUAAGAUUUUGUUGUAACUUAAGGUAUCUUGCUACAGUAGACAGAAUUGGUAAUAGCAACUUUUAAAAUUGUCAUUAGUUCUGCAAUAUUAGCUGAAAUGUAGUACAGAAAAGAAUGUACAUUUAGACAUUU